RNAcentral lists this non-coding RNA (92 nucleotides) under Candidimonas nitroreducens. RNAcentral's name for it is "Glycine sequence". It matches the Rfam family "Glycine riboswitch aptamer". Rfam says of the family: This family represents the bacterial glycine riboswitch. Glycine riboswitches usually consist of two metabolite-binding aptamers domains with similar structures in tandem. Lineage: Bacteria; Pseudomonadati; Pseudomonadota; Betaproteobacteria; Burkholderiales; Alcaligenaceae. The record is from RNAcentral.
UUACACGCGGCGGGAGAGAGCCGGCAGAUGCCCGGCCGCCGAAGGCGCAAUUCGCCCAGAAUCGCUCAGGCACCCCGUACCGCCCGUGUAUU